This 76-nucleotide transfer RNA is filed under the name Nocardioides sp. RNAcentral describes it as "tRNA-Lys". It matches the Rfam family "tRNA". From Rfam's summary of the family: Transfer RNA (tRNA) molecules are approximately 80 nucleotides in length. Their secondary structure includes four short double-helical elements and three loops (D, anti-codon, and T loops). The record is from RNAcentral. Lineage: Bacteria; Bacillati; Actinomycetota; Actinomycetes; Propionibacteriales; Nocardioidaceae. RNAcentral also lists the same sequence under 21 other names.
GGGCCUCUAGCUCAAUUGGCAGAGCAGCGGACUUUUAAUCCGCGGGUUGUGGGUUCGAGUCCCACGGGGCCCACCA